This 390-nucleotide ribosomal RNA is filed under the name uncultured Nitzschia. Its description in RNAcentral is "bacterial LSU rRNA". It matches the Rfam family "Bacterial large subunit ribosomal RNA", at positions 2098 to 2487 of the family's 2925-position model. The record is from RNAcentral. Lineage: Eukaryota; Bacillariophyta; Bacillariophyceae; Bacillariales; Bacillariaceae.
GCUUUACUGUAACUUGAAAUUGAAAUUGGACUUUAUUUGCGCAGUAUAGGUGGGAGGCAUUGAGAAUAUUCUUGCGGGAAUAUUGGAGCCAUUAGUGAGAUACCACUCUUGUAAUGUUAGAUUUCUAACUUUGUAUCAUAAUCUGGUCAAAGAACAGUUUCAGGCGGGCAGUUUGACUGGGGCGGUCGCCUCCCAAACGGUAACGGAGGCGCACAAAGGUUUCCUCUGAACGUGUAGAAAUCGUAUCUAGAGUGUAAAGGCAUAAGGAAGCUUGACUGUGAGACCUACAAGUCGAGCAGGGACGAAAGUCGGUCUUAGUGAUCUGACGGUGCUGAGUGGAAAGGCCGUCACUCAACGGAUAAAAGUUACUCUAGGGUAAAAAGGCUGAAA